GUGAGGAAUCUUCCACAAUGGGCGAAAGCCUGAUGGAGCAACGCCGCGUGAAGGAUGAAGGUCUUCGGAUUGUAAACUUCUUUUAUGAGUGAAGAAUAUGACGGUAACUCAUGAAUAAGCACCGGCUAACUACGUGCCAGCAGCCGCGGUCAUACGUAGGGUGCAAGCAUUAUCCGGAGUGACUGGGCGUAAAGAGUUGCGUAGGCGGUUAUGUAAGCGAAUAGUGAAACCUGGUGGCUCAACCACACAGACUAUUAUUCGAACUGCAUAACUCGAGAAUGGUAGAGGUAACUGGAAUUUCUUGUGUAGGAGUGAAAUCCGUAGAUAUAAGAAGGAACACCAAUGGUGUAGGCAGGUUACUGGGCCAUUUCUGACGCUAAGGCACGAAAGCGUGGGGAGCGAACCGGAUUAGAAACCCCGGUAGUCC
Molecule: ribosomal RNA, 427 nt
Filed under: uncultured bacterium
Lineage: Bacteria
Description: partial 16S ribosomal RNA
Rfam family: Bacterial small subunit ribosomal RNA
Source: RNAcentral